CCUACGGGGUGCAGCAGUGGGGAAUAUUGCGCAAUGGGCGAAAGCCUGACGCAGCGACGCCGCGUGAGGGAUGAAGGUCUUCGGAUCGUAAACCUCUGUCAGCAGGGAAGAACGGUCACUGUGCUAAUCAGCAGUGAAUUGACGGUACCUGCAAAGGAAGCACCGGCUAACUCCGUGCCAGCAGCCGCGGUAAUACGGAGGGUGCGAGCGUUAAUCGGAAUUACUGGGCGUAAAGCGCUCGUAGGCGGUAUGUCAAGUCAAGGGUGAAAUCCCCGCGCUCAACGUGGGAACUGCCUUUGAAACUGGCAAACUGGAGUGUGUGAGAGGAUAGUGGAAUUCCAGGUGGAGGAGUGAAAGCCGUAGAUAUCUGGAGGAACAUCAGUGGCGAAGGCGACUAUCUGGCACAUAACUGACGCUGAGGAGCGAAAGCGUGGGUAGCAAACAGGAUUAGAUACCCCAGUAGUC
RNAcentral lists this ribosomal RNA (465 nucleotides) under uncultured bacterium. RNAcentral describes it as "partial 16S ribosomal RNA". It matches the Rfam family "Bacterial small subunit ribosomal RNA", at positions 338 to 795 of the family's 1533-position model. The record is from RNAcentral.